RNAcentral lists this ribosomal RNA (469 nucleotides) under uncultured bacterium. Its description in RNAcentral is "partial 16S ribosomal RNA". It matches the Rfam family "Bacterial small subunit ribosomal RNA", at positions 355 to 819 of the family's 1533-position model. The record is from RNAcentral.
UGGGGAAUAUUGCACAAUGGGCGCAAGCCUGAUGCAGCCAUGCCGCGUGUGUGAAGAAGGCCUCGGUUGUAAAGCACUUUCAGCGAGGAGGAAGGUGGUGGACUUAAUACGUUCAUCAAUUGACGUUACUCGCAGAAGAAGCACCGGCUAACUCCGUGCCAGCAGCCGCGGUAAUACGGAGGGUGCAAGCGUUAAUCGGAAUUACUGGGCGUAAAGCGCACGCAGGCGGUUUGUUAAGUCAGAUGUGAAAUCCCCGGGCUCAACCUGGGAACUGCAUUUGAAACUGGCAAGCUAGAGUCUCGUAGAGGGGGGUAGAAUUCCAGGUGUAGCGGUGAAAUGCGUAGAGAUCUGGAGGAAUACCGGUGGCGAAGGCGGCCCCCUGGANGAAGACUGACGCUCAGGUGCGAAAGCGUGGGGAGCAAACAGAUUAGAUACCCUGGUAGUCCACGCUGUAAACGAUGUCGAUUUU